GAAAAGAAACCAACAGGGAUUGCUUCAGUAAGGGGAAGUGAAGCGGCAAAAGCUCAAAUUUGAAAUCCUUCGGGAAUUGUAUUUUGAAGGUGGGUUUGGUUAGGAAAAGUUACUUUAAGUCCAUUGGAAAAGGGCGCCAUGGAGGGUGAUAGCCCGGUAAAAGUAUCCCUUUUCCUUUUAUCCAUUCCCUCCAAAGAGUCGAGUUGUUUGGGAAUGCAGCUUUAAGUGGGUGGUAAAUUCCAUCUAAAGCUAAAUAUUGGCGAGAGACCGAUAGCGAACAAGUACAGUGAUGGAAAGAUGAAAAGCACUUUGAAAAGAGAGUGAAAAAGUACGUGAAAUUGUUGAAAGGGAAGGGCUUGCAAGCAGACACAACCUCGGUUGGGCCAGCAUCGGAGUGGGGGGAGACAAAAAAGAAAAGGAAUGUAACUCAUUGAGUAUUAUAGCCUUUUUCUC
RNAcentral lists this ribosomal RNA (453 nucleotides) under Metschnikowia reukaufii. Its description in RNAcentral is "eukaryotic LSU rRNA". It matches the Rfam family "Eukaryotic large subunit ribosomal RNA", at positions 56 to 549 of the family's 3401-position model. The record is from RNAcentral. Lineage: Eukaryota; Fungi; Ascomycota; Pichiomycetes; Serinales; Metschnikowiaceae.